RNAcentral lists this ribosomal RNA (253 nucleotides) under uncultured bacterium. Its description in RNAcentral is "partial 16S ribosomal RNA". It matches the Rfam family "Bacterial small subunit ribosomal RNA", at positions 524 to 776 of the family's 1533-position model. The record is from RNAcentral.
UACGUAGGGGGCAAGCGUUGUCCGGAAUCAUUGGGCGUAAAGAGCGUGUAGGCGGCUCGGUAAGUCCGCUCUGAAAGCCCGGGGCUCAACCCCGGGAGGCGGGCGGAUACUGUCGAGCUAGAGUCCGGAAGAGGCGAGUGGAAUUCCUGGUGUAGCGGUGAAAUGCGCAGAUAUCAGGAGGAACACCGAUGGCGAAGGCAGGUCUCUGGGCUGACACUGACGCUCAUGCACGAAAGCGUGGGGAGCGAACAGG